This 374-nucleotide long non-coding RNA is filed under the name Homo sapiens (human). RNAcentral's name for it is "non-protein coding lnc-TSR1-3:1". The record is from RNAcentral. Lineage: Eukaryota; Metazoa; Chordata; Mammalia; Primates; Hominidae.
CUUCGGCUGGUGCUGUGUACCCAAAGCUCCUUCAUGCUCUGUGUUAUGCAUUUAUGUGUGUUUCAGAACAAGCAUCUCCAGUGUUCUUCUCUGGAGAGAAGUAAUGCUGGGGGAUAGAUUAUGGAGACCCUGGCUACUUUGGAGGGCACUUUUGGGGAGUAGGGAGGGGAGCUUGUUUGACUUGGGGACCAGCCAUGUGAGUCUCCUAGACUCAUGGGUAACCUCCAGAGGGAAGGCUAAAGCAGAGAUUUCUGGGCAGCAGUUUAUGUGUGGACUGUGUAGUCUGAUUCUUCCCCUUUUCUUUCUAAAUUUUUUCCCUGUACUUGCCUCAAGAUGUACCCCCUGGACUGUUAUUAAUCUCAGUCUCCCCAUGC